This 301-nucleotide ribosomal RNA is filed under the name uncultured bacterium. Its description in RNAcentral is "partial 16S ribosomal RNA". It matches the Rfam family "Bacterial small subunit ribosomal RNA", at positions 509 to 807 of the family's 1533-position model. The record is from RNAcentral.
CAGUCGCCGCGGGAAUACGGAGGGUGCAAGCGUUAAUCGGAAUUACUGGGCGUAAAGCGCACGCAGGCGGUCUGACAAGUCAGAUGUGAAAUCCCCGGGCUUAACCUGGGAACUGCAUUUGAAACUGGCAAGCUAGAGUCUCGUAGAGGGGGGUAGAAUUCCAGGUGUAGCGGUGAAAUGCGUAGAGAUCUGGAGGAAUACCGGUGGCGAAGGCGGCCCCCUGGACGAAGACUGACGCUCAGGUGCGAAAGCGUGGGGAGCAAACAGGAUUAGAUACCCCGGUAGUCCCUGUCUCUUAUAC